GGACUACUGGGGUAUCUAAUCCCGUUUGCUCCCCUAGCUUUCGCGCCUCAGCGUCAGAAGAGGUCCAGCACGUCGCUUUCGCCACCGGCGUUCCUUCUGAUAUCAACGCAUUUCACCGCUCCACCAGAAGUUCCACAUGCCCCUACCUCCCUCGAGCCUGUCAGUAUCAAGGGCACUUUUCCGGUUGAGCCGAAAGAUUUCACCCCUGACUUGACAAGCCGCCUACGCGCCCUUUAAGCCCAGUGAUUCCGAACAACGUUCGCACGGUUCGUCUUACCGCGGCGGCUGGCAC
RNAcentral lists this ribosomal RNA (292 nucleotides) under uncultured Planctomycetota bacterium. RNAcentral describes it as "uncultured planctomycete partial 16S ribosomal RNA". The record is from RNAcentral. Lineage: Bacteria; Pseudomonadati; Planctomycetota.